This 316-nucleotide unclassified non-coding RNA is filed under the name fungal sp. RNAcentral's name for it is "partial internal transcribed spacer region". The stretch from base 1 to 46 matches the Rfam family "Eukaryotic small subunit ribosomal RNA", at positions 1786 to 1831 of the family's 1831-position model. Lineage: Eukaryota; Fungi. The record is from RNAcentral.
AAGUCGUAACAAGGUUUCCGUAGGUGAACCUGCGGAAGGAUCAUUACAAAACAAAAUCCAAACCACACCAAAUGUGCUCUAUAAAUGCUGAGAAGCUGUCUUUGUGUGUGUUAAUGUUUGUGUGAGGAGAAAAAUUUAUUUUUUCCUCCUCGCACUCUCACACACACACACACACAAUCCUUCUUUUCAGCAUUGUCUUUGUUUAUCAAUUUUUUCAUUAACUCCUUGUUUAACCAACAACGGAUUACAAUGUUAAAACUUGAAACAAAAAAACAAAACAAAAUGACAACUUUUAACGGUGGAUCUCUUGGCUCGU